AGAGUUUGAUCAUGGCUCAGAGUGAACGCUGGCGGCAGGCCUAAUACAUGCAAGUCGAACGGCAGCACAGCAGAGCUUGCUCUGUGGGUGGCGAGUGGCGGACGGGUGAGGAAUACGUGGGAAUCUGCCCAGUCGUGGGGAUAACGUAGGGAAACUUACGCUAAUACCGCAUGCGCCCUUCGGGGGAAAGCCGGGGACCUUCGGGCCUGGCGCGAUUGGAUGAGCCCACGUCGGAUUAGCUAGUUGGCGGGGUAAAGGCCCACCAAGGCGACGAUCCGUAGCUGGUCUGAGAGGAUGAUCAGCCACACUGGAACUGAGACACGGUCCAGACUCCUACGGGAGGCAGCAGUAGGGAAUAUUGGACAAUGGGCGCAAGCCUGAUCCAGCCAUGCCGCGUGAGUGAAGAAGGCCCUCGGGUUGUAGAGCUCUUUUGUCCGGAAAGAAAAGCGCCGGGUUAAUACCCUGGUGUCCUGACGGUACCGGAAGAAUAAGCACCGGCUAACUUCGUG
Molecule: ribosomal RNA, 509 nt
Filed under: uncultured bacterium
Lineage: Bacteria
Description: bacterial SSU rRNA
Rfam family: Bacterial small subunit ribosomal RNA
Source: RNAcentral